Pongo pygmaeus (Bornean orangutan) is the source of this 376-nucleotide long non-coding RNA. RefSeq lists it as uncharacterized. The record is from RefSeq and is a predicted model, not a curated record. NCBI's taxonomy places the organism in Eukaryota, Metazoa, Chordata, Mammalia, Primates, Hominidae. The transcript is spliced from 3 exons.
CUGGAAACCUGGAAUCUUCCUGUCUCUAUAGACUUUUCUAUUCUGGACAUCCAGGAAUUGUGCUGAGAGUGUGAAUGAAAGGACAAAAGACACAUUUUGUGGCUUUGAAAAUUUCAGAUGGGACUGUUGACUGAUGUCCUAAACACCAUCCUGAAGCUCUAAUAGUGUCUAGUGUAAACUGUGAAAUAUUGAUACAUUUCCUCUUACAAUGAGUGACAUUAUUUGAUCCCUAUAAACCAUGGACAUCAUUGUGGAAAUUCACCUCCACCCCAUCCUCACCUCAUCAAGUCCCUAGCAUUCCAACACUAUGUCUACUUCUGCAGCUGAUAUUCUGAUUUCUAGAAUGUGCUUGUCAAAUAUUAUAUCUGUUGUCACC